CACCAAGCCUUCGAUGGAUAGGGGUUCUGAGAGGAAGGUCCCCCACAUUGGAACUGAGACACGGUCCAAACUCCUACGGGAGGCAGCAGUGAGGAAUAUUGGUCAAUGGGCGCUAGCCUGAACCAGCCAAGUAGCGUGAAGGAUGAAGGCUCUAUGGGUCGUAAACUUCUUUUAUAUAAGAAUAAAGUGCAGUAUGUAUACUGUUUUGUAUGUAUUAUAUGAAUAAGGAUCGGCUAACUCCGUGCCAGCAGCCGCGGUAAUACGGAGGAUCCGAGCGUUAUCCGGAUUUAUUGGGUUUAAAGGGAGCGUAGGUGGACUGGUAAGUCAGUUGUGAAAGUUUGCGGCUCAACCGUAAAAUUGCAGUUGAUACUGUCAGUCUUGAGUACAGUAGAGGUGGGCGGAAUUCGUGGUGUAGCGGUGAAAUGCUUAGAUAUCACGAAGAACUCCGAUUGCGAAGGCAGCUCACUGGACUGCAACUGACACUGAUGCUCGAAAGUGUGGGUAUCAAACAGGAUUAGAUACCCUGGUAGUCCACACAGUAAACGAUGAAUACUCGCUGUUUGCGAUAUACAGUAAGCGGCCAAGCGAAAGCAUUAAGUAUUCCACCUGGGGAGUACGCCGGCAACGGUGAAACUCAAAGGAAUUGACGGGGGCCCGCACAAGCGGAGGAACAUGUGGUUUAAUUCGAUGAUACGCGAGGAACCUUACCCGGGCUUAAAUUGCAGUGGAAUGAUGUGGAAACAUGUCAGUGAGCAAUCACCGCUGUGAAGGUGCUGCAUGGUUGUCGUCAGCUCGUGCCGUGAGGUGUCGGCUUAAGUGCCAUAACGAGCGCAACCCUUAUCUUUAGUUACUAACAGGUUAUGCUGAGGACUCUAGAGAGACUGCCGUCGUAAGAUGUGAGGAAGGUGGGGAUGACGUCAAAUCAGCACGGCCCUUACGUCCGGGGCUACACACGUGUUACAAUGGGGGGUACAGAAGGCAGCUAGCGGGUGACCGUAUGCUAAUCCCAAAAGCCUCUCUCAGUUCGGAUCGAAGUCUGCAACCCGACUUCGUGAAGCUGGAUUCGCUAGUAAUCGCGCAUCAGCCACGGCGCGGUGAAUACGUUCCCGGGCCUUGUACACACCGCCCGUCAAGCCAUGGGAGCCGGGGGUACCUGAAGUACGUAACCGCAAGGAUCGUCCUAGGGUAAAACUGGUGACUGGGGCUAAGUCGUAACAAGGUAGCCGUACCGGAAGGUGCGGCUGGAACACCUCCUUU
This 1257-nucleotide ribosomal RNA is filed under the name Bacteroides fragilis. RNAcentral's name for it is "bacterial SSU rRNA". It matches the Rfam family "Bacterial small subunit ribosomal RNA", at positions 266 to 1533 of the family's 1533-position model. The record is from RNAcentral. Lineage: Bacteria; Pseudomonadati; Bacteroidota; Bacteroidia; Bacteroidales; Bacteroidaceae.